UGACUGUGCGAAGGUAGCAUAAUAAUUUGCCUUUUAAUUGAAGGAUGGAAUGAAUGGUUGGACGAAGAUAAAGCUGUCUCAUAUAUAUUUAUUAAAAGUUAAUUUUUAGGUUAAAAAGCCUAAAUUAAAUUAAAGGACGAGAAGACCCUAUUAAGCUUAAAAGAAUACUAUAAUUAUUGCUAUAUUAUGUAAAUGUAAUAUUAAUGACAACAUUUUAGUUGGGGCGACUUGGGAGCAAGAAAAACCUCCUUUGACUUAGAUAAAAUUUGAUUUAUGGUCCAAAGAAUUUUGAGAUAAAAACAAGUUACUAUAGGGAUAACAGCGUAAUUUUAUUUAAGAGUUCUAAUCGAAAAUAGAGUUUGCGACCUCGAUGUUGGAUUAAGAAGUAAUAAAGGUUGCAGAAGCUUUUAUAAUUAGUCUGUUCGACUAUUAAUAUCUUACAUGAUCUGAGUUCAAACCGGA
This 462-nucleotide ribosomal RNA is filed under the name Plectostoma hosei. Its description in RNAcentral is "Opisthostoma hosei partial 16S ribosomal RNA". It matches the Rfam family "Bacterial large subunit ribosomal RNA", at positions 1943 to 2620 of the family's 2925-position model. Lineage: Eukaryota; Metazoa; Mollusca; Gastropoda; Architaenioglossa; Diplommatinidae. The record is from RNAcentral.